AGUAAUCAAUGAUGUAAAUCAGUAUCAUUCCUGAUCUAUCUGUGAUGAUUAUGCAAAUAAUCACCAUCUUUCGGCUGAGAUUGCU
Molecule: small nucleolar RNA, 85 nt
Organism: Hibiscus syriacus
Lineage: Eukaryota; Viridiplantae; Streptophyta; Magnoliopsida; Malvales; Malvaceae
Source: RefSeq, a predicted model, not a curated record